This is a long non-coding RNA of Beta vulgaris subsp. vulgaris (sugar beet), 843 nucleotides long. RefSeq lists it as uncharacterized. Lineage: Eukaryota; Viridiplantae; Streptophyta; Magnoliopsida; Caryophyllales; Amaranthaceae. The record is from RefSeq and is a predicted model, not a curated record. The transcript is spliced from 2 exons.
GAUCAGCCCAAAAGCCCAAUUUAUUUCUAACCCCAUAACCAGCGCCCCUCUUAACAUUACUCAAAACCCUAAAGCUUCUCAAAACCAACCCGCCUCCCUUUCGUCCCUCUCAACCCGCCUCCAUCUCUUUCUCUCCCUUUCGUCCCUCUCAACCCGCCUCCCUCUCUUUCUCUCUCACUUUCUCUCUCACUUUCGUCCCUCUCUUUGUCUCUCACUUUCGUCCGACGAUCUGCUUCAGUUCACAUCAACCGACGAUCGAAACUUCGACGCCAUGACCUUCAGUGAGCGAUCUUCAGCGUCGACGACACCAACAACAGCAACAACACUUCGAACAACUAACGAAUCUUCAGCGAACGAACGAAUCUUCAGGUAACUUAUUUUUUUUCUUUUUCUUUUUCUUGUUUUUAUUCGCCUGUUUUAAUUUUUCGUAAUUUGUCAUUUUUUUCAGAAUUCAGAUCUUGUUUGAAGACCUCGUUUUUUCAUUUCCGUGAAUUUUUCGAAGAACUCAUUUUUCAUCCUAAAAUCUCCAGAUGUGUUCGAAGUAUAACAACGAGAAGGAAGAUCAAGAUGUGAAGGAAGCUCCAACAUUUUUUUUACUAUUAUUGAUAGAUUUGUUUUUAUGAAUUAUUGUAAUAUAUAUGUUCUAAAAUUCGAAGCAUUUUCGUUUUUAUUUUUCCAGAUCUGGUCGAAUUUUUGUACAGUAUUGUUAUUAGUUUUAUUUGAUUUUCAAUCCUCUAUCUCUUACAUCUCCAUAGUCCAUUACCUUUGUAGUUUGUAUUGUUAUUAGUUUUUUGUACAGUAUUCAUUUCCUUUUCAAUUACUGCAUUCGUUAUUGUUGAUUCA